Molecule: ribosomal RNA, 254 nt
Filed under: uncultured bacterium
Lineage: Bacteria
Description: partial 16S ribosomal RNA
Rfam family: Bacterial small subunit ribosomal RNA
Source: RNAcentral
CACGUAGGGGGCGAGCGUUGUUCGGAAUCAUUGGGCGUAAAGAGCUCGUAGGCGGCUCAGUAAGUCGGGUGUGAAACCCCCAGGCUCAACCUGGGGACGCCACCCGAUACUGCUGUGGCUAGAGUCCAGUAGGGGAGUGUGGAAUUCCCGGUGUAGCGGUGAAAUGCGUAGAUAUCUGGAGGAACACCGGUGGCGAAGGCGGCAUCCUGGACCGGCAUUGACGCUGAGGCGCGAAAGCCAGGGGAGCAAACGGG